GCAGAACAACUAGCUCGACAAAUUAAAACAAACAACCAAACAAAUAUAUAACAAAACUAAAUAAUUUAAUUAAUUAAAACAUUCUUCCCCCCUAGUAUGGGCGACAGAAAAGGAUCAAGGAGCAAUAGAAAAAGUACCACAAGGGAAAGUUGAAAUAGAAAUGAAAUAAAUAUCACAGGCAAUAUAAUGCAAAGACUAAAACUUGUACCUUUUGCAUCAUGAUUUAGCAAGUUGAGUUCAGGCGAAGGGAACUUUAGUCUGAAGCCCCGAAACUAGGCGAGCUACUUCGGGGCAGCCCAAAUGAGCGAACCCAUCUCUGUAGCAAAAGAGUGGGAAGACCCCCAAGUAGAGGUGACAAACCAACCGAGCCCAGUUAUAGCUGGUUGCUUAAGAAAUGAAUGUUAGUUCAGCCUAAUAUAAUUCUUUAACUACACACCCUAAAAAGACAAAAGCAAUAUAUAUGAGUCAGUCAGUGGGGGUACAGCCCCCCCGACUAAGGACACAACCUUACAUUGAUGGCCAAGGACCAUACCAAAAAAUAAACUUUUCUCAGUGGGCCUAAAAGCAGCCACCUAUAAAGAAAGCGUCAAAGCUCAGACACAAGACAAAUAAAUAAUAAUGAUUUUUAACCUCCAAACCCCCAAGUAAUAUUAGGCCUCACUAUACUAUUAUAGAAGAGAUUAUGCUAAAAUUAGUAAUAAGAGAGGCCCGCCUCUCUCCUGACACAUGUGUAAACCAGAACGGACUAACCACUGGCAAUUAACGAACCCAGUAAUACUUGAGGGCCAAGUAGAAGGUAUUAUUGUAUCUAGAAAAUUCUACUAUCACAUUCGUUAACCCAACACAGGAGUGCCUUAAUGGAAAGACUAAAAGGGAGGGAAGGAACUCGGCAAACAUAUCCCCCGCCUGUUUACCAAAAACAUCGCCUCUUGCUAAUAAUAAUGUAUAAGAGGUCUUGCCUGCCCAGUGACCCGAUUUCAACGGCCGCGGUAUUAUGACCGUGCAAAGGUAGCGUAAUCACUUGUCUUUUAAAUAAAGACCUGUAUGAAUGGCUUAACGAGGGGCUUACUGUCUCCCCCCCCCAGUCAAUGAAAUUGAUCUACCCGUGCAGAAGCGGGUACAACCACAUAAGACGAGAAGACCCUAUGGAGCUUCAGACAAAACUAAAGCAUUUUCUAUACUAUGAUAAACCGCUAGGAAUACAAAUGGACUCAAUUGUGUCAAUUAGUGCAUGUCUUCGGUUGGGGCGACCAUGGCGGAUAAAAAAGCCACCAUAAAGAUAAAGAAUAUAAGACUAAUCUUAAACCAAGAAGUACACUUCAAGGCAACAGAAAAUCUGACCACAUGACCCAGGCCCAUAACCUGAUCAACGAACCAAGUUACCCUAGGGAUAACAGCGCUAUCCUCUCCCAGAGUUCAUAUCGACAAGAGGGUUUACGACCUCGAUGUUGGAUCAGGACAUCCUAAUGGUGCAGCCGCUAUUAAGGGUUCGUUUGUUCAACGAUUAAUAGUCCUACGUGAUCUGAGUUCAGACCGGAGUAAUCCAGGUCGGUUUCUAUCUAUGAAAAACCCACCCCCAGUACGAAAGGGCCGGGGUGGGAAGGCCCCUGUUAAAGACAAGCCUUACCCACACCUACUGAAAAAUAAAUAAAAUAGGCAUUGGACACCCACACAACCAAAGAAUUUUGGCGC
RNAcentral lists this ribosomal RNA (1692 nucleotides) under Saccopharynx lavenbergi. Its description in RNAcentral is "16S ribosomal RNA". It matches the Rfam family "Bacterial large subunit ribosomal RNA". Lineage: Eukaryota; Metazoa; Chordata; Actinopteri; Anguilliformes; Saccopharyngidae. The record is from RNAcentral.